This 73-nucleotide transfer RNA is filed under the name Candidatus Omnitrophica bacterium CG11_big_fil_rev_8_21_14_0_20_64_10. Its description in RNAcentral is "tRNA-Met". It matches the Rfam family "tRNA". Rfam says of the family: Transfer RNA (tRNA) molecules are approximately 80 nucleotides in length. Their secondary structure includes four short double-helical elements and three loops (D, anti-codon, and T loops). Further hydrogen bonds mediate the characteristic L-shaped molecular structure. tRNAs have two regions of fundamental functional importance: the anti-codon, which is responsible for specific mRNA codon recognition, and the 3' end, to which the tRNAs corresponding amino acid is attached (by aminoacyl-tRNA synthetases). tRNAs cope with the degeneracy of the genetic code in two manners: having more than one tRNA (with a specific anti-codon) for a particular amino acid; and 'wobble' base-pairing, i.e. permitting non-standard base-pairing at the 3rd anti-codon position. Lineage: Bacteria; Pseudomonadati; Candidatus Omnitrophota. The record is from RNAcentral.
GGGUCCGUAGCUCAGCGGUGAGAGCAGCGCACUCAUAAUGCGUUGGUCCCUGGUUCGAAUCCAGGCGGACCCA